UACGUAGGGGGCAAGCGUUGUCCGGAUUUACUGGGCGUAAAGCGCGUGUAGGCGGCCGCACAGGUCCGUUGUGAAAACUGGAGGCUUAACCUUCAGAGGUCGACGGAAACCGUGUGGCUAGAGUCCGGAAGAGGAGAGUGGAAUUCCUGGUGUAGCGGUGAAAUGCGCAGAUAUCAGGAAGAACACCAAUGGCGAAGGCAGCUCUCUGGGACGGUACUGACGCUGAGACGCGAAAGCGUGGGGAGCGAACAGGAUUAGAUACCCUGGUAGUCCACGCCGUAAACGAUGGGUGCUAGGUGUGGGAGGUGUCGACUCCUUCCGUGCCGCAGCUAACGCAUUAAGCACCCCGCCUGGGGAGUACGGCCGCAAGGCUAAAACUCAAAGGAAUUGACGGGGCCCCGCACAAGCAGCGGAGCAUGUGGUUUAAUUCGAUGCAACGCGAAGAACCUUACCAGGGCUUGACAUGGUCGGGAAAACCGUAGAAAUACGGUCCUCCUUCGGGACUCGAUCACAGGUGGUGCAUGGCUGUCGUCAGCUCGUGUCGUGAGAUGUUGGGUUAAGUCCCGCAACGAGCGCAACCCCUGUCCCAUGUUGCCAGCGAGUAAUGUCGGGGACUCAUGGGAGACUGCCGGUGACAAAUCGGAGGAAGGUGGGGAUGAUGUCAAGUCAUCAUGCCCCUUAUGUCCUGGGCUACACACGUGCUACAUUGGCCGGUACAAAGGGCUGCAAACCCGCGAGGGUGAGCGAAUCCCAAAAAGCCGGUCCCGGUUCGGAUUGAAGGCUGAAACUCGCCUUCAUGAAGGUGGAGUUGCUAGUAAUCGCGGAUCAGCAACGUCGCGGUGAAUACGUUCUCGGGGCUUGUACACACCGCCCGUCACACCACGAAAGUCGGCAAUACCCGAAGCCGGUGAGCUAACCGCAAGGAGGCAGCCGUCGAAGGUAGGGUCGAUGAUUGGGGUG
This 960-nucleotide ribosomal RNA is filed under the name uncultured Actinomycetes bacterium. Its description in RNAcentral is "bacterial SSU rRNA". It matches the Rfam family "Bacterial small subunit ribosomal RNA", at positions 524 to 1482 of the family's 1533-position model. Lineage: Bacteria; Bacillati; Actinomycetota; Actinomycetes. The record is from RNAcentral.